RNAcentral lists this transfer RNA (64 nucleotides) under Brachylecithum sp. PakAb2. Its description in RNAcentral is "tRNA-Ile". The record is from RNAcentral. Lineage: Eukaryota; Metazoa; Platyhelminthes; Trematoda; Plagiorchiida; Dicrocoeliidae.
GCUAAUAGGGGUGGUGAGCCGGCCCUUGUGAUAUAGGGGUUGUAAGAUUUGAUUUUUGUUGGUA